UGGAGCCGGGACCUGCCAGGGAGGGCCGCCCUGGGGGCCGCGAGGCUCUCCCCAACCUGCCCCUUCUUCUUAGUUCUUGGGGGUGCUGCUGACGCUUCUGUACAUCACCCGCGUGGAGGACAUCAUCAUGGAGCAUUCUGUCACCGACGGACUUCUGGGCCCGGACGCCAAGCUCAGCGCGGACACAGCAGGCACAGGCUGCUGCUUGUGCUACCCCAAUUAGGGCCGGGGCCUGGACACCAACUCCAGCAGGACCUGGCUGGGUGGCACCUCUCAGUCCACUUUAGGGGCUGGACAGGCUGCACCACGGCCCUGUGCCCGGGUGGAGUGCCCCUGUGGGCGGCAUCUCCACGGCCACACACUCUGGGUUCCGUGCCCACCCUGCCAGGAGAGAGAACGUGGCGUCCCUGCUCUGGGUCUGGGCCAUGAGGGAAAGAGGAACUUGGGGCUCAGCUUGGGGCCCACUUUAUUUCCGGCGGUGCCCUGGGCUUGUGGUCAGUAGGCCCCCCUUCAAGGGCAGUUUUGCUGUGAUUUGUCAGUUUGGGGAGACAGUGGCAGGAGGGGCAGGGGGUAGCCCUCCCACGCCCCAGAUCAGGUCGGGCCAUUUCUCAGCCUCCGUAGGUGCCUUCAGCCCUCUGCAAGGGCAGCUGUUUUGCUGACCUGUUUUCAUGUUCUGUGCAGAGCCGGGCAUUUUCCCGCUUUGGCUCCAAGUCAGUUCAUUAAUCAAACAAUAAAGACAAGAUUUUUUUUUUUU
Molecule: long non-coding RNA, 754 nt
Filed under: Marmota monax (woodchuck)
Lineage: Eukaryota; Metazoa; Chordata; Mammalia; Rodentia; Sciuridae
Source: RNAcentral